CGUUAUCCGGAUUUUGGGUUUAAGGGUGCGUAGGCGGCUUAUUAAGUCAGGGGUGAAAGACGGUGGCUCAACCAUCGCAGUGCCCUUGAUACUGAUGAGCUUGAAUACACUAGAGGUAGGCGGAAUGUGACAAGUAGCGGUGAAAUGCAUAGAUAUGUCACAGAACACCGAUUGCGAAGGCAGCUUACUAUGGUGUCAUUGACGCUGAGGCACGAAAGCGUGGGGAUCAAACAGGAUUAGAUACCCUGGUAGUCCACGCCCUAAACGAUGAAUACUCGCUGUUAGCGAUACACAGUUAGCGGCUAAGCGAAAGCGUUAAGUAUUCCACCUGGGGAGUACGCCCGCAAGGGUGAAACUCAAAGGAAUUGACGGGGGCCCGCACAAGCGGAGGAGCAUGUGGUUUAAUUCGAUGAUACGCGAGGAACCUUACCCGGGCUUGAAAGUUAGUGAAUGAGAUAGAGAUAUUUCAGUGAGCAAUCACACGAAACUAGGUGCUGCAUGGCUGUCGUCAGCUCGUGCCGUGAGGUGUUGGGUUAAGUCCCGCAACGAGCGCAACCCCUAUGUUUAGUUGCCAGCACGUUAAGGUGGGGACUCUAAACAGACUGCCUGUGCAAACAGAGAGGAAGGAGGGGACGACGUCAAGUCAUCAUGGCCCUUACGUCCGGGGCUACACACGUGCUACAAUGGAUGGUACAGAGGGCAGCAAGCUGGCAACAGCAAGCAAAUCUCAAAAAGCCAUUCACAGUUCGGAUAGAGGUCUGCAACUCGACCUCUUGAAGUUGGAUUCGCUAGUAAUCGCGUAUCACAAUGACGCGGUGAAUACGUUCC
This 828-nucleotide ribosomal RNA is filed under the name Pedobacter sp. OF22-4. RNAcentral's name for it is "bacterial SSU rRNA". It matches the Rfam family "Bacterial small subunit ribosomal RNA", at positions 539 to 1374 of the family's 1533-position model. Lineage: Bacteria; Pseudomonadati; Bacteroidota; Sphingobacteriia; Sphingobacteriales; Sphingobacteriaceae. The record is from RNAcentral.